UUUGGUGGGAUCCACCCAUGUAAUCGUUGCAAUCCAUAGAUAAAAAAACCAACCCACGUCCUAUUAGUCAUUAAGAGUUACCGGAAUAUUCCACAUGUGAAAAAAAACAAUAUCUCACAUAGAAACCCUAGCACUGUCAAGAAACAGCCGUCCUCACCAUGCCAUCCUAUAGUAUGAAGAUCUACAGCCUUGAGUAGAUGGCCUCCCAUGCAAGAAUGCAUGCUGUCUCUCCCGUCGUGAGCUAGAGCGGCUAGAUAAUGUUGUCGUCUGAUUUGAAGGCCUGCGAUUGGGACUACAUGCAUGGCAGCGCUGCCGGUGCAAUGGCAGGUACAUGCUUGACUCGAUUUGUUAGGGCAUAGAAGUAUAAGAUCUGAUUUUCAGGCACGAUGUACAUGCUUGGCUUGAUUUGUUGGGACACACACGUAGUAUACACUUCGACGCAGGUCGGUUGAUCGAUUCUACGAAGAGCUCGACCUUUGAUUUUGUUCGGUCGCAAACUAAACACAAGCCAUCAUGCGGGAAGUAUACACUUUGACGCAAGUCGGUUGAUCGAUUCUAUCGGACAGCUCGCCUUUGAUUUUGUCCGGCCGCAAACUAAACAGAAGCCAUCAUGCGGGACGACGUACGAGAUUGUCAGGCUGCGUACCUUCGUUAGCCAGGACCAUGUGCACUGUGGAAUAUCUCCCAUAGAAAUCUUCCACCAUGAGAUGCGAAGUCUGUCGCAGACGUGUUCAUGGUGCACAGCAAUUAGCCGAGAAAAUUCAAGAUACGAUCUAUAUUAUCUCAUGUUCUAUUCCUUUGUUUCGUGUGCAUUGCCAAGUAUAAUUGCUAAUUGCACGUAUACACCAGAUAUCUACAAUAUGAUGGAAAAUAAUUACAAAUAGACUUCCAAAUAGGUAAGACGUGAAUGAUGUGGUCAUGUUAUCAUCUCUCUGUAGUUGUUUUAAUUCUUUCUAGAUGCUUUCUAAGUACUGUUCAUCAUUUAGGAUUAGAACAAAAUUUAUUUGUUUUUUUGGCUGCUUGAUUUCUUCANUACUUUGCUUUUGUGGCAGCUUGAUUUCUUCGUUGUAAGAAAAAGGAAGCAUACACGUUUUUACAUAAAUGGAAUUACAUAAUAAAGUGCUUCAUCACCACGUACCUUAUCUGCUUUUUGUUGUCCGUAUAUUAGUUAUGUGGAAGAUCUUUUGUUCUGAUAGAAUAGAAAAAAGGAUAAGUGACUACGACAUCAAAUUCGGCCAACCAUGUCACAUAUUCAUGUGUUUUGUUUCGGAAACCUCAAGUUUGAUCAGAACUAUCAGCCAUAUUAAUUUGGUGCCUACUCUUUGUUUUAUCACUUAACAACUUAGGUCCAUUAUGAUUCUUUGUUAUUCUUCUUUAAUUUCAGGAAGGAAUUGCGAAGGUUUUUGUGUCACAUCUGCCUCGGAAACGGGGAACAAUACAAUAUGUAAAAUCUCUUAGAUGUGCUCAUGGUGCACUACAAGCAGCCGAGCAAAUUCAAGAUAUGGUCUUUAUUUUAUCAUGUUCUACUCCUUUGUUUCGCCUGCAUUGCCAAAUAUAAUUGCAACUGCAUGUAUACGAUAAAUAUCAUGCAAUAUGAUGCAAAAGAAUUACAAAUAGUCUUCCAAAUGGGAAGAUGUUAAUGAUGUGGUUUUGUUAUCAUGGAUUUGUCGUAGCUACUACUUUUUUUUAAAAGCUUUCCAAGUAGCAUUUAUCAUUUAAGACUAGGGCAAAAUUACUUUGCUUUUGUGGCAGCUUGAUUUCUUCGUUGUAAGAAAAAGGAAGCAUACACGUUUUUACAUAAAUGGAAUUACAUAAUAAAGUGUUUCAUAACCAUGUAGCUUAUCUGUAUUUUUUGUUUGUACAUUGAUUAUGUGGAAGAUCUUUUGUUCGAAUAGAAUAGAAAAAGGUAUAAGUGACUAGAAUAUCAAAUUCGGCCAACCAUGUCACAUAUUCAUGUGUUUGGUUUCGAACACGUAAAGUUUGACCAGAAGCAUCAACCAUUAAUCCGGUCAUUACUCUUUGUUUUAUCAUGGCACAACUUCAGUACAUUUUUAUGCUUGACUCUUCUUCUUUAAUAUCAUGGAGGAAUUGCGGUUUCGUGUCAACUCCGCCUUGGAAACGGGGAAGUAUAUUAUAUGUAAAAUCUUUCAAUAUGAUAUUGAUGUAUUCUGCUUUUAGAAUUAUGUAUUUUUAUAAUUAGUUUGUGCGAC
Molecule: long non-coding RNA, 2210 nt
Filed under: Hordeum vulgare
Lineage: Eukaryota; Viridiplantae; Streptophyta; Magnoliopsida; Poales; Poaceae
Description: long non-coding RNA (HVUL_LNC003188)
Source: RNAcentral